AGUGAACGCUGGCGGUAGGCCUAACACAUGCAAGUCGAACGGCAGCACAGUAAGAGCUUGCUCUUACGGGUGGCGAGUGGCGGACGGGUGAGGAAUACAUCGGAAUCUACUUUUUCGGGGGGGAUAACGUAGGGAAACUUACGCUAAUACCGCAUACGACCUACGGGUGAAAGCAUGGGAUCUUCGGACCUUGCGGGAUUGAAUGAGCCGAUGUCGGAUUAGCUAGUUGGCGGGGUAAAGGCCCACCAAGGCGACGAUCCGUAGCUGGUCUGAGAGGAUGAUCAGCCACACUGGAACGUGGACACGGUCCAUGCGCCUGAGAGAGGGAGCAGACUGGUAUAUUAGGCAAUGGGCGCAAACCUUAUCCAGCCAUACGGCGUGUGUUGAAGAGGCGCUCGGGGUGGAAAGCCCGUUUGUUGGGAAAGAAAAGCAGCAGCUUGAUACCCCGCUGUUGUGACGGUACCCAAAGAAUAAGCACCGGCUAACUUCGUG
RNAcentral lists this ribosomal RNA (492 nucleotides) under uncultured bacterium. RNAcentral's name for it is "partial 16S ribosomal RNA". It matches the Rfam family "Bacterial small subunit ribosomal RNA", at positions 29 to 507 of the family's 1533-position model. The record is from RNAcentral.